CGGACGGGUGAGUAAUGUCUGGGGAUCUGCCUGAUGGCGGGGGAUAACUACUGGAAACGGUAGCUAAUACCGCAUAAUGUCUACGGACCAAAGCGGGGGACCUCCGGGCCUCGCGCCAUCAGAUGAACCCAUAUGGGAUUAGCUAGUAGGUAAGGUAACGGCUUACCUAGGCGACGAUCCCUAGCUGGUCUGAGAGGAUGAUCAGCCACACUGGGACUGAGACACGGCCCAG
Molecule: ribosomal RNA, 232 nt
Filed under: uncultured bacterium
Lineage: Bacteria
Description: partial 16S ribosomal RNA
Rfam family: Bacterial small subunit ribosomal RNA
Source: RNAcentral